AUUGAACGCUGGCGGCAUGCCUUACGCAUGCAAGUCGAACGGCAGCACGGACUUCGGUCUGGUGGCGAGUGGCGAACGGGUGAGUAAUGUAUCGGAACGUACCUUUCAGUGGGGGAUAACGUAGCGAAAGUUACGCUAAUACCGCAUAUUCUGUGAGCAGGAAAGCAGGGGAUCGAAAGACCUUGCGCUGAUUGAGCGGCCGAUAUCAGAUUAGCUAGUUGGUGGGGUAAAGGCCUACCAAGGCGACGAUCUGUAGCGGGUCUGAGAGGAUGAUCCGCCACACUGGAACUGAGACACGGUCCAGACUCCUACGGGAGGCAGCAGUGGGGAAUUUUGGACAAUGGGGGCAACCCUGAUCCAGCCAUGCCGCGUGAGUGAAGAAGGCCUUCGGGUUGUAAAGCUCUUUCGGCCGGGAAGAAAUCGCAUAGGCUAAUACCCUGUGUGGAUGACGGUACCGGAAUAAGAAGCACCGGCUAACUACGUG
Molecule: ribosomal RNA, 484 nt
Filed under: uncultured bacterium
Lineage: Bacteria
Description: partial 16S ribosomal RNA
Rfam family: Bacterial small subunit ribosomal RNA
Source: RNAcentral